RNAcentral lists this ribosomal RNA (493 nucleotides) under uncultured bacterium. RNAcentral's name for it is "partial 16S ribosomal RNA". It matches the Rfam family "Bacterial small subunit ribosomal RNA", at positions 30 to 507 of the family's 1533-position model. The record is from RNAcentral.
CGAACGCUGGCGGCGUGCCUAAUACAUGCAAGUAGAACGCUGAAGGAGGAGCUUGCUUCUCUGGAUGAGUUGCGAACGGGUGAGUAACGCGUAGGUAACCUGCCUGGUAGCGGGGGAUAACUAUUGGAAACGAUAGCUAAUACCGCAUAAGAGUAGAUGUCGCAUGACAUUUGCUUAAAAGGUGCAAUUGCAUCACUACCAGAUGGACCUGCGUUGUAUUAGCUAGUUGGUGAGGUAACGGCUCACCAAGGCAACGAUACAUAGCCGACCUGAGAGGGUGAUCGGCCACACUGGGACUGAGACACGGCCCAGACUCCUACGGGAGGCAGCAGUAGGGAAUCUUCGGCAAUGGACGGAAGUCUGACCGAGCAACGCCGCGUGAGUGAAGAAGGUUUUCGGAUCGUAAAGCUCUGUUGUAAGAGAAGAACGAGUGUGAGAGUGGAAAGUUCACACUGUGACGGUAUCUUACCAGAAAGGGACGGCUAACUACGUG